GAUGAACGCUGGCGGCGUGCCUAAUACAUGCAAGUCGAGCGAACAGAUGAGGAGCUUGCUCCUCUGACGUUAGCGGCGGACGGGUGAGUAACACGUGGAUAACCUACCUAUAAGACUGGGAUAACUUCGGGAAACCGGAGCUAAUACCGGAUAAUAUAUUGAACCGCAUGGUUCAAUAGUGAAAGACGGUUUUGCUGUCACUUAUAGAUGGAUCCGCGCCGCAUUAGCUAGUUGGUAAGGUAACGGCUUACCAAGGCAACGAUGCGUAGCCGACCUGAGAGGGUGAUCGGCCACACUGGAACUGAGACACGGUCCAGACUCCUACGGGAGGCAGCAGUAGGGAAUCUUCCGCAAUGGGCGAAAGCCUGACGGAGCAACGCCGCGUGAGUGAUGAAGGUCUUCGGAUCGUAAAACUCUGUUAUUAGGGAAGAACAAAUGUGUUAGUAACUAUGCACGUCUUGACGGUACCUAAUCAGAAAGCCACGGCUAACUACGUG
RNAcentral lists this ribosomal RNA (497 nucleotides) under uncultured bacterium. RNAcentral's name for it is "partial 16S ribosomal RNA". It matches the Rfam family "Bacterial small subunit ribosomal RNA", at positions 28 to 507 of the family's 1533-position model. The record is from RNAcentral.